AUGCAAGUCGAACGAUGAAGCAUUCUCCGGAAUGUGGAAGAGUGGCGAACGGGUGGGGAACACGUAAGAAUCUGCCCCUCGGUCGGGGACAACUCUUGGAAACGAGAGCUAAUACCCGAUACGCCGUGGAGUGAAAGAAUUUCACCGAGGGAUGAUCUUGCGUCUGAUUAGCUAGUUGGUGUGGUAAAGGCAUACCAAGGCGACGAUCAGUAGCUGGUCUGAGAGGAUGAACAGCCACAUUGGAACUGAGACACGGUCCAAACUCC
Molecule: ribosomal RNA, 266 nt
Filed under: uncultured bacterium
Lineage: Bacteria
Description: partial 16S ribosomal RNA
Rfam family: Bacterial small subunit ribosomal RNA
Source: RNAcentral